This 685-nucleotide ribosomal RNA is filed under the name uncultured bacterium. Its description in RNAcentral is "bacterial SSU rRNA". It matches the Rfam family "Bacterial small subunit ribosomal RNA", at positions 8 to 684 of the family's 1533-position model. The record is from RNAcentral.
AGAGUUUGAUCCUGGCUCAGAUUGAACGCUGGCGGCAUGCUUUACACAUGCAAGUCGAACGGUAACGCGGGGGCAACCCUGGCGACGAGUGGCGAACGGGUGAGUAAUACAUCGGAACAUGUCCUGGAGUGGGGGAUAGCUCGGCGAAAGCCGGAUUAAUACCGCAUACGCUCUGAGGAGGAAAGCGGGGGACCUGGUAACGGGCCUCGCGCUGCAGGAGUGGCCGAUGUCGGAUUAGCUAGUUGGUGAGGUAAAGGCUCACCAAGGCGACGAUCCGUAGCUGGUCUGAGAGGAUGAUCAGCCACACUGGGACUGAGACACGGCCCANACUCCUACGGGAGGCAGCAGUGGGGAAUUUUGGACAAUGGGGGCAACCCUGAUCCAGCCAUGCCGCGUGAGUGAAGAAGGCCUUCGGGUUGUAAAGCUCUUUCGGACGGGACGAAAUGGUUAUGGUGAAUAUCCAUGACUGAUGACGGUACCGUAAUAAGAAGCACCGGCUAACUACGUGCCAGCAGCCGCGGUAAUACGUAGGGUGCGAGCGUUAAUCGGAAUUACUGGGCGUAAAGCGUGCGCAGGCGGUUCGCCAAGUCAGGUGUGAAAUCCCCGGGCUUAACCUGGGGAUUGCGCUUGAAACUAGCGAGCUUGAGUGUGGCAGAGGGGGGUGGAAUUCCACGUGUAGCAGUGA